Long non-coding RNA from Eleginops maclovinus (Patagonian blennie), 1353 nucleotides. RefSeq lists it as uncharacterized. NCBI's taxonomy places the organism in Eukaryota, Metazoa, Chordata, Actinopteri, Perciformes, Eleginopidae. The transcript is spliced from 3 exons. The record is from RefSeq and is a predicted model, not a curated record.
GUCAUCGGUGACAUCAUGACCACCAUUUUGACACUCUUCAGUGAUGGUUGACACACAUGACCCCUUAUCAUUAUGAGUCAAAGAGGAGCUGAAAUAGCAAAACGCUACCGGGAGCGCCGUGAUGCUGACCCUGACAGAAAAAGACAGUAUCUUGAAAAAGAGAGGGUCAGGUGGAAGAAGGACAGAGACACUGGAAAGAAAAAGGGCAUUGAUGAGCUGAGUGAGCGAGAGAAGAGGGCAAAAAGAAAGAAGUGGAGAGAGGCAAAAAAGCAGCCAGAGCAAAGUCCAGGGCCAGCGCUUUGCUUUUGUCGGAGACACCACCCAGUGAUCAGUCAAAAGUACAUGAACAGAAUAAAAGUUGGAGGCCAGAAGUCAUCGAGGAGAAGCACAUUGGUGAAUGGUGUGUAGUCAACUAUGACAAUGAUGGAUACCCUGGUAUCAUUCUUGAUGUAGAGGAGCACAAUGUGAAAGUGAAAUGCAUGCACAACAAAGGCAUCAACAAAUUCUGUUGGCCAAGUCCUCGUGAUGACAUCAACUGGUAUGGGGAUUGGCAGAUUCUGUGCCUCAUGUCAGAACCACAACUUGUGAACAGGCGUGCCUUCUCAGUUGAGCCAUCUGUAUGGAAGUACAUGGAGGACCAAUUACAGUAGACCUAGAUGUCCUGAUGUUCUGAUGAGUAGCCUACCCUUGAUAUGUGUUCUGAUGUUAACUGAGUAGGCUACAGUUUGUACCUAACUCAUCCUUUUUAAUGUUUUUCUGUACUUAAUGAAUUGCGUUUGUCCACCCUGUCAUGUGAUUUUCCACCCUAUCGUGCCAAUGUCCACCCUGUCAAAUUUAAGUUUAAUGAAAAAUAAAAUAAAUAAAUAAAUAUGUAUUGAAUAUACAGUAAACCUGUGUGUGUUAUCUGAUGUCCAAAUGAUUAUCAAACAAUACCAUUAAAAAGUUUUGCUUGUUAGAUUUGUUUUUGUCAUUUUAUUUUAAAAUCAAAGAAGACCUAUGGCCAUCGCUUAGAUAAAACUGCAAUUUUAUUCUAAUUUUAGUAUUUACCAAAGACUUUUCCCAUUACCUGAAAUGUAUUAACUAGAAAGGGACAAAAGACCUUUCUGAAAAGGUAUGUUUUAUUAUAAUUAUGUAAUAAAAAACAUAUAUCUGAAGAUUACAUUUGUCCCCGACAGGGUGGACAUAUUUUGCAAUAUGCCCAUAUUUUGACAUUCUGUAUUUAAUUCAUAAAUUCAUAAAGUGUUUAAGCUUGACCAAUAUGUAUUUUUAACACCCUAGGGGCAGCUUAAUAACAUGAUUAUAAAGUGUAAGGGGAAAUCUUACCCUUUUCUUAUCGAAAUUACAAUGUCUCAA